RNAcentral lists this ribosomal RNA (861 nucleotides) under human gut metagenome. RNAcentral's name for it is "bacterial SSU rRNA". It matches the Rfam family "Bacterial small subunit ribosomal RNA", at positions 8 to 843 of the family's 1533-position model. The record is from RNAcentral.
AGAGUUUGAUCCUGGCUCAGGACGAACGCUGGCGGCGUGCCUAACACAUGCAAGUCGAACGGAGAAUUUUAUUUCGGUAGAAUUCUUAGUGGCGAACGGGUGAGUAACGCGUAGGCAACCUGCCCUUUAGACGGGGACAACAUUCCGAAAGGAGUGCUAAUACCGGAUGUGAUCAUCGUGCCGCAUGGCAGGAUGAAGAAAGAUGGCCUCUACAAGUAAGCUAUCGCUAAAGGAUGGGCCUGCGUCUGAUUAGCUAGUUGGUAGUGUAACGGACUACCAAGGCGAUGAUCAGUAGCCGGUCUGAGAGGAUGAACGGCCACAUUGGGACUGAGACACGGCCCAAACUCCUACGGGAGGCAGCAGUGGGGAAUCUUCCGCAAUGGACGAAAGUCUGACGGAGCAACGCCGCGUGAGUGAUGAAGGAUUUCGGUCUGUAAAGCUCUGUUGUUUAUGACGAACGUGCAGUGUGUGAACAAUGCAUUGCAAUGACGGUAGUAAACGAGGAAGCCACGGCUAACUACGUGCCAGCAGCCGCGGUAAUACGUAGGUGGCGAGCGUUGUCCGGAAUUAUUGGGCGUAAAGAGCAUGUAGGCGGCUUAAUAAGUCGAGCGUGAAAAUGCGGGGCUCAACCCCGUGAUGGCGCUGGAAACUGUUAGGCUUGAGUGCAGGAGAGGAAAGGGGAAUUCCCAGUGUAGCGGUGAAAUGCGUAGAUAUUGGGAGGAACACCAGUGGCGAAGGCGCCUUUCUGGACUGUGUCUGACGCUGAGAUGCGAAAGCCAGGGUAGCGAACGGGAUUAGAUACCCCGGUAGUCCUGGCCGUAAACGAUGGGUACUAGGUGUAGGAGGUAUCGACCCCUUCUG